This 1382-nucleotide ribosomal RNA is filed under the name Klebsiella variicola. RNAcentral's name for it is "bacterial SSU rRNA". It matches the Rfam family "Bacterial small subunit ribosomal RNA", at positions 63 to 1441 of the family's 1533-position model. The record is from RNAcentral. Lineage: Bacteria; Pseudomonadati; Pseudomonadota; Gammaproteobacteria; Enterobacterales; Enterobacteriaceae.
CAAACAGGAUGAGGCUUGGCUCUCGGGUGACGAGGGGCGGACGGGUGAGUAAUGUCUGGGAAACUGCCUGAUGGAGGGGGAUAACUACUGGAAACGGUAGCUAAUACCGCAUAACGUCGCAAGACCAAAGAGGGGGACCUUCGGGCCUCUUGCCAUCAGAUGUGCCCAGAUGGGAUUAGCUGGUAGGUGGGGUAACGGCUCACCUAGGCGACGAUCCCUAGCUGGUCUGAGAGGAUGACCAGCCACACUGGAACUGAGACACGGUCCAGACUCCUACGGGAGGCAGCAGUGGGGAAUAUUGCACAAUGGGCGCAAGCCUGAUGCAGCCAUGCCGCGUGUGUGAAGAAGGCCUUCGGGUUGUAAAGCACUUUCAGCGGGGAGGAAGGGGGUGAGGUUAAUAACCUCAUCGAUUGACGUUACCCGCAGAAAAAGCACCGGCUAACUCCGUGCCAGCAGCCGCGGUAAUACGGAGGGUGCAAGCGUUAAUCGGAAUUACUGGGCGUAAAGCGCACGCAGGCGGUCUGUCAAGUCGGAUGUGAAAUCCCCGGGCUCAACCUGGGAACUGCAUUCGAAACUGGCAGGCUAGAGUCUUGUAGAGGGGGGUAGAAUUCCAGGUGUAGCGGUGAAAUGCGUAGAGAUCUGGAGGAAUACCGGUGGCGAAGGCGGCCCCCUGGACAAAGACUGACGCUCAGGUGCGAAAGCGUGGGGAGCAAACAGGAUUAGAUACCCUGGUAGUCCACGCUGUAAACGAUGUCGACUUGGAGGUUGUGCCCUUGAGGCGUGGCUUCCGGAGCUAACGCGUUAAGUCGACCGCCUGGGGAGUACGGCCGCAAGGUUAAAACUCAAAUGAAUUGACGGGGGCCCGCACAAGCGGUGGAGCAUGUGGUUUAAUUCGAUGCAACGCGAAGAACCUUACCUGCUCUUGACAUCCAGAGAACUUAGCAGAGAUGGUUUGGUGCCUUCGGGAACUGUGAGACAGGUGCUGCAUGGCUGUCGUCAGCUCGUGUUGUGAAAUGUUGGGUUAAGUCCCGCAACGAGCGCAACCCUUAUCCUUUGUUGCCAGCGGUUAGGCCGGGAACUCAAAGGAGACUGCCAGUGAUAAACUGGAGGAAGGUGGGGAUGACGUCAAGUCAUCAUGGCCCUUACGAGUAGGGCUACACACGUGCUACAAUGGCGUAUACAAAGAGAAGCGACCUCGCGAGAGCAAGCGGACCUCAUAAAGUAUGUCGUAGUCCGGAUUGGAGUCUGCAACUCGACUCCAUGAAGUCGGAAUCGCUAGUAAUCGUGGAUCAGAAUGCUACGGUGAAUACGUUCCCGGGCCUUGUACACACCGCCCGUCACACCAUGGGAGUGGGUUGCAAAAGAAGUAGGUAGCCGUUUAA